UCUCAAACGGUUCGUUACGAUGUGUAGGUCAUUUGUUGAGAGAUAUUUCACAUUUUGUAUUUAUAUAGGGCAGGGAAUAUAUUAAAAUGUUAUGUAAUACGUUUGUUGUCGAAUUAACCGUAAUCUUAGGGUGGGUAUCUAUAAAUCGCUUCGAAUGAAGCUGCUCACAUAAUUGUCAUCGAACUUCACUUGGUAAGUUCGUUUGAUUUUCAAUUAUGUUUCGCAGCUUCAUUCUUUGCGAUUUAUAUUGACGUGGUGUAGAUGUUUAGAGUAAAUAAAAUGUGAAAUGGUGAUAAAAAUUGAAAAACUUAUGGUUACAAUCAUUAUUAGAUAACAAUGUUUUAGCAAAGCUGGUAGGAUCAGUAAUUACAUGUCUAUUGUAAAACUUAGCAAAUACUGCAGAAGAAUCAGACCAUCCCGCAGUUUUGCGUAUAACAUCAAUGUUGACCCCAAGUCUAUUGGCAGUGGAUGUGGACGCAUGGCGAGUACUAUGAGCACUAAAUAUAGAAGUAUCUACUCCGCUGUUAUGAAGCGUGUCCUUUAUCCAUUUACUGAGCGUCUGGGAGGUAACUUUUGAGUAUGGUUUUUUAAAACUAAUAAAUAAAUGAUCAUUAUGUCGAA
Long non-coding RNA from Colias croceus (clouded yellow), 621 nucleotides. RefSeq lists it as uncharacterized. The transcript is spliced from 2 exons. NCBI's taxonomy places the organism in Eukaryota, Metazoa, Arthropoda, Insecta, Lepidoptera, Pieridae. The record is from RefSeq and is a predicted model, not a curated record.